This is a long non-coding RNA of Drosophila miranda, 465 nucleotides long. RefSeq lists it as uncharacterized. The record is from RefSeq and is a predicted model, not a curated record. NCBI's taxonomy places the organism in Eukaryota, Metazoa, Arthropoda, Insecta, Diptera, Drosophilidae. The transcript is spliced from 7 exons.
ACCAUAAAUAGAAGUGUAUACCUCCGUUGAAAGACGUCUGAAAUACGAACUGGUCUAUCGAAAAGAUAGAACAAAUAAGGAUCAUGAAGCUAGUGUUGCCUUUAUCCGAAGUACCCUGAAGACUGCAAAGUAUUGCAUUGCUUGUGCUGCUCCGAUGAUUUGCUCUACACCAGUUGAUCAGAUUCAGCAUAAUAUAUAAGAUUGAUUUAUCACCACUGUCCUAAGGAUACGACAUUUCCUUGAGUUCCACAUAUAUUUCAAGAUAUGUUACCUGUCGAUCAGGGAUCGGCACAUAUUCACAUUUUGUUAGUACGUUUGUGGGCGUAGUCACCAGCCAACAGGAAAAUACCUCUUCCGAUCAUUAUAACAACAGAGGUUGUUUUGUUCGAGAAUAAAAUGCAUAAGAUAAAAGUAAAUUAAAAAUCAAAUAUAAUAAGAAAGAUUUUUUCUGCUAAGAUUUUAUAA